This 4439-nucleotide long non-coding RNA is filed under the name Coffea arabica (coffee). RNAcentral's name for it is "long non-coding RNA (CARA_LNC006761)". Lineage: Eukaryota; Viridiplantae; Streptophyta; Magnoliopsida; Gentianales; Rubiaceae. The record is from RNAcentral.
GCAGCUGGAAGCAUCUGCUUCUCCGCGGUUUGGUUGCUCCCCCUGGUUGGGUGUCUGUACUCUGUAUAUACCAAGUCUUGACGUCAACGAUGACAUCAUCAAUCCCCUGAUUUUUGAUUUUUUCGUCGUUGUUUUGCUUGCAUAUGCUGUCAAGAAGCGCUUCAUCCCCCGUGAGUUUCUUGAACUUCAUUCAUUCCCCUUUCCCGUCUAGUCCUCCGGACAAGCUUUAACUAAUUCUAAGGUUUUGGGUCGUACGCCAAAGCAAAAAGAAAGCAAAAAGCUUCAGCUUUGAGGCGGUAGUCAUUUUGGCAUCCAAUAGAUGAAUCGUUGUUGGCGGGUUUUCUCUUUCUUUGCCCCCUUUUUUUUUUUUUAUAAGAAACGAUGAAUGUAGAUUGAUAAUAUGGAUCCAAGCACUCAUCUUUCUUUAAUUUUGAGUCACUUCUGUCGAUUGUUCAUUGUUAUAUGCUGGGUCCCGAAUUGUGGUUUAGUUGGUAUGAACAGAAACUUGGAGCUUUUAUGUGAAUUUACAGGAGGCAAUAGUUUAUAAUAUAUGUGCAUACAUUGGAUACUGGUAGUUCGUACAUUAGCAAAAGCUGUUUACUAUAGUGUACAAGUUUCAUCAAGAACUGUAGACAAAAGCAGCAAAAGCUGGUAUGUACAUUAGCAAAAGGUGAUCAUUGACAAAAAUAGGUGACUUUAUGACACUAAACUGAUCUCAAAAGCUGAUGCAAAACAUAGGAAUGGUGCAUGAUUUUAGUCGAUUAUUUGGUGCUUUGGCUGGUCAGUGAUUGUUGCUGGUGGAUCUCUUUUCUUAGUUGCUGUAGCUUGUGCGAUGGUUGGAUUGGUUGUGUCUUUGCUUGAAUCUUCAGUUGCAAUUUGUUGAUCAGGUAGGUUUGAUGAUGAGGCUUCAUUGGUUGCUGGUGCAGGGGUCUGUGUAGGAUCUUCAAUUGGUAGACAAGCGAGGAUGUUGUACUUUGCUACAAUUGUGUUUUGUAGAGGAUGAGUGAAUUUCCUGACUUGAAAACGAAAUGUGCUCAUAUGGAGCUUUAUAUUGAUGUCUGCAAUAUCUGGAAUUUGGUUCUGUGGACAUUGGUUUCUGAAUGAGUAUGUCUUUGGUUUGGUAUAUGAAUAGUGUGAAUAAAUUUGUAUUCUAUAAAAAGUAAUGUUGUUAAUGUUCAAAAUUACCUUUAGUGUCAUGUAGAGUAUGUCUUCAGCAGAGAUGUUGAGAAUGUGUUGAGCAUGCUGGUCUUCAAUUUGUGCAGUAAUUGUUCCAGUAGUAUCAGACAGUUGCACUAAGAACUUGAGCCUGCAUUAAGUAUUAUGGUUUUGUUAUGUUAUGAUAAGAAGAAUGUUAUGAAUUUUAGUGUGUAAAUAUGUUUAUGGAUUUACCUUGGCAGUGGUUUUGCAAAUGUCAUGUUGCAAUGACGGCAUAAGAAGUUGAAAUUUGCUUGAGCUCCAGUUUGUUUCUUGCAAUUAGAAGCUGGACAGGUAAGGAUGUAGAGUCGAUGUUGAGGCUGAACUAUCUUUGCUUUGGCUUUGAUCCAGAAUGGCUUUGCCUGUAAGAUUUCAUGUGGUUAAAUAUUAGAUUUUGUUGUGAUAGUAUUUGUUAUCGAAUAUAUUGUAUUUUGUACUGAUAAAUGUAGUAGUUGUACCAGAUAAGGAGUAUUUAGUGCAUAGCUGAUGUCGUGCAUAUGUUCUUCAGGAGGAGGUUGGACUGUUUGAUGAGUUGCAUCAUAAAGUUUUUUUGCUAAAACUUGCUCAAUAUAAGGUCUGCUUGCUUUGGUCCUGUUAUAUUGUAUAGGAUGGUGUCAGAUUUUGGUUAUAAUGUGCCUAACGAAUAAGUAAAUAUUGACUUUAUCAACUUACCAACUUUUGAGUUCUAGUGCUUGAGGGAUUUGUGGAUCAAACAAGAUAGCACUCAUUGUUUGUGUCUCGACAGAUAAAACUGUUAUAUGAUUAUUUGAAAAAUUAGUACUAUAUUCUGUAAAGCAGAUAAUAUACUUGACUUUUGUAAGUUUAUAUGAAUUAGGGACAGAUUGACAUACCAUGUACUGAAGUCACUUUGGCUCUUGUUAUAAUCAAUGUCGGGGAUUGAUUUAAGAUCCUCAGAAGGUAUUGUGCUUCAAUGUCAAUGAAUUUUGGCCACAUUGUAAGUAUCAUUGGCUUUUGUCUGCAUCAGUUAUCAAUAGUUAAUAUGAGUUUUGUGUUGUAUUGCACUUUAUUAAUUUGCAUUGUUUUUAUACUUACUCUUGAUUUAGGAUGAUGAAUUCUUGAAUUGGAUAAUCGCCUCUUUGUCGUGCAAUGAAGCGACGGGGAAGAGCUCCAAUGACAGUGCAUAGCAGAGCUGAGACAAGAGCAUUAGGUAUUAGUAUUGAUAUGUAAGAAUCAUUGUAGUAACAAUGUAAUGAAAAUUAUUAAAGUGAAGUAGUACUUAUCGGAUUUGUAUUUGUAUCCAUGUACUUAUAGAAGUCUCUGAAUGGUGUAAAAUUGUAGCACUGAUCGAUAGGAUACUGGUUUUCUUGAUCUGCUUCUUUGAUGAAUGUACCUCUGGUCAAGGUUAGUUGAAAUGGUGAAGUGCAGUAUCUGAAAUUUUCUAUUGUUAUAGGCUCCACCUUUGCAUUGCCAAUGUAGUAUGUAGAGUACAAGACAAGUGCUUGAUCUAGAGCUUGUAUGUCUCUUGUGUAUGAGACAGCUUGGAUUGUACUUUUCUGUAUUUUGCAGCAACAGAGAAUAAAAUAUAAUGAGUGAGUUUUUACUUCUAUUCUGUAGAACAUUUUCCUUAUGUACUCUUUAUAUGAAUAAAUUUACCUCUUUGUCAAGGAACAGAUAUUUCUGAAAUGUAGUACUUCCAUCUUUACUGAUACGGGGAGCUGUUUUCUCAAUGAGAAUAGCUUUUGCAACCCAAUCUUCUUUUUCUUGUGCUAUUUCUGUAAUGGGAAUACAGAGCUCUUCUAUUUCACUGCAAGAUUAGUCAGCAUUUAUGUAUACAGAUAAGUAUAUACAGUGUCCAUGGCAUAGUGCUGUAAAAAGAGCUGGUCAAAGAAUCAAUAUAUCACUAAAGCAGAUUUAUGAAAAGAACCAAAAUGGUAAAUAAUGAUAGAAAACAUAAGGAAAAUAAUAGAGGAAGUGCGAGGAAGUAGGAGUUAGCUAUUAGUUACUGCUGAAAGCACUUCUUGAUAGACAACAUUUCGUGUAAAAUUGGUGCUUUCUGUUUGUCUGUGUGGUGGCUGUAUCAGGACUUUAAUGUUAGUAGCUGUCCGUGCUCUUGACAAAGCAACGUAAAGUUGUCCAUGAGAAAAAACUGGUUCUCUGAGGUAAAGUCCAACAUAAUCAAGUGUUUGCCCUUGAGCUUUAUUAAUGGUCAUUGCGAAACACAAACGUAGUGGAAAUUGAGUUCUUUUGAACUGUACUGAAGACAAUUCCUCAUCAGAAGCUUGUAAUGGUAUCCUUGGAAUGAAAACAAUUUUUCCUGCAAAAGAGCCAAAUGCUAUCUGUGCUUGAAUUAUGUUAUUCGAAAAUUCCUUACAGAUUAGGCGUGUACCAUUUGAUAGGCCCUCACUUGGAUUGAUGUUUCUGAGAAGCAUGACUGGACAGUUCUUUUUCAGUAGUAGCUCAUGUAAAGGGAGGCCCUUAGGUGUAAGAGAAUGCAGUAGAUCUUGAUCUUGGAACUGUACUGAGGAGUCUAAUGGUUCAUCAUUGCUGAAGUAGGUUAUUUCUGCUCCUGGAAAUUUCAUUAUCAAUUUAUGAUUAAUCUGAUGAACAAAGUCAUUUCUUGUCAUCAAUAUUGCUCGAUUGAUGAUAGAUGAUGUUGUUGAAGUAAUGUACUCCAUAUUUGGGAACACAGUAUCAAUCAGAGCAUUUAUGGAAGUUUCAUCAUCUUGAAAAGGAAUGUUGAUUGAUUCUGGUAUCUGGACUUCAUCUUGAUCAGUAGUUUGCUGAAUUCCAUCUCCAAUUCUCAUCAAGAAUGUGGAAAAAUCUGGAUCAAGUCUAGCUCUCAUAUUGAUUGUUAAUCUGAUCUUUUCGAAUUUGCUCCAUAAUGGUGACAUGACAAGACUGGUAUCUAUGAUAUCUUCUCUGGUACCAUGUGUGAUCACUGGUAAAGUCUGACGAAAGUCACCACCAAAGACAAUGAUUUUUCCACCAAAUAAAUGGUCGUUAUUUGUUAUGUCUUGUAACAUCUUGUCAAGGGCUUCAACUGACUUUCUUUUAGCCAUAGUAGCUUCAUCCCAUAUAAUGAGCUUUGCAUCUCUGAUUAGCUGAGCCAAGACACUUUGCUUGCUGAUGUUGCAGUACUUAUUUUGAUCAUCAUUAAUGGGGAUUUUGAACCUUGAGUGUGCAGUUCGACCUCCAGGAAGAAUGGAUGCUGCUACACCUGAUGUUGCAGUAGCAAGUGCUAUGCAGCCUUGUGAUCUUAUAGUUGCAAGCAGAGCUUUAUAGAG